This 781-nucleotide ribosomal RNA is filed under the name uncultured archaeon. RNAcentral's name for it is "bacterial SSU rRNA". It matches the Rfam family "Archaeal small subunit ribosomal RNA", at positions 325 to 1105 of the family's 1478-position model. The record is from RNAcentral.
ACGGGGUGCAGCAGGCGCGAAACCUUUGCAAUGUGCGCAAGCACGACAAGGUUAAUCCGAGUGUUUCCUGCUAAAGGAAUCUUUUGUUAGUCUUAAAAUCACUAUUGAAUAAGGGGUGGGCAAGUUCUGGUGUCAGCCGCCGCGGUAAAACCAGCACCUCAAGUGGUCAGGAGGAUUAUUGGGCCUAAAGCAUCCGUAGCCUGCUCUGUAAGUUUCCGGUUAAAUUCAUUAGCUCAACUAAUGGCCUGCCGGAAAUACUGUAGAGCUAGGAAGUGGGAGAGGUAGACGGUACUCGGUAGGAAGGGGUAAAAUCCUUUGAUCUAUUGAUGACCACCUGUGGCGAAGGCGGUCUACCAGAACACGUUCGACGGUGAGGGAUGAAAGCUGGGGGAGCAAACCGGAUUAGAUACCCGGGUAGUCCCAGCUGUAAACGAUGCAGACUCGGUGAUGCCCUGGCUUGUGGCCAGUGCAGUGCCGCAGGGAAGCCGUUAAGUUUGCCGCCUGGGAAGUACGUACGCAAGUAUGAAACUUAAAGGAAUUGGCGGGGGAGCACCACAAGGGGUGAAGCCUGCGGUUCAAUUGGAGUCAACGCCAGAAAUCUUACCCGGAGAGACAGCAGAAUGAAGGUCAAGCUGAAGACUUUACCAGACAAGCUGAGAGGUGGUGCAUGGCCGCCGCCAGCUCGUGCCGUGAGAUGUCCUGUUAAGUCAGGUAACGAGCGAGAUCCCUGCCUCUAGUUGCCACCAUUACUCUCAGGAGUAGUGGGGCGAAUUAGCGGGAC